CGAGUGAACCGGGAAGAGCUCAAAUUUGAAAUCUGGCGUCCUCAGGGCGUCCGAGUUGUAAUCUAUAGAGGCGUUUUCCGUGCCGGACCGUGUCCAAGUUCCUUGGAACAGGAUAUCAAAGAGGGUGACAAUCCCGUACUUGACACGACGACCGGUGCUCUGUGAUACGUCUUCUACGAGUCGAGUUGUUUGGGAAUGCAGCUCAAAAUGGGUGGUGAGUUCCAUCUAAAGCUAAAUAUUGGCGAGAGACCGAUAGCGAACAAGUACCGUGAGGGAAAGAUGAAAAGCACUUUGGAAAGAGAGUUAAACAGUACGUGAAAUUGUUGAAAGGGAAACGAUUGAAGUCAGUCGUGACCGAGAGGCUCAGCCGGCUCUGCCGGUGUAUUCCCCUCGGUCGGGUCAACAUCAGUUUUGUCCGGUGGAUAAGGGCGGUAGGAAGGUGGCACCCUCGGGUGUGUUAUAGCCUGCCGUCGCAUACAUCGGGUGAGACUGAGGAACGCAGCUCGCCUUUAUGGCCGGGGUUCGCCCACGUCCGAGCUUAGGAUGUUGACAUAAUGGCUUUAAACGACCCGUCUUGAAACACGGGAAC
Molecule: ribosomal RNA, 589 nt
Filed under: Papiliotrema laurentii
Lineage: Eukaryota; Fungi; Basidiomycota; Tremellomycetes; Tremellales; Rhynchogastremaceae
Description: partial large subunit ribosomal RNA
Rfam family: Eukaryotic large subunit ribosomal RNA
Source: RNAcentral